UACGUAGGGUGCGAGCGUUGUCCGGAUUUAUUGGGCGUAAAGAGCUCGUAGGCGGCUCGUCGCGUCGACCGUGAAAACCCGCGGCUUAACUGCGGGCUUGCGGUUGAUACGGGCGGGCUAGAGUUCGGUAGGGGAGACUGGAAUUCCUGGUGUAGCGGUGAAAUGCGCAGAUAUCAGGAGGAACACCGGUGGCGAAGGCGGCUCACUGGCCCGAUACUGACGCUGAGGUGCGAAAGCGUGGGGAGCAAACAGG
Molecule: ribosomal RNA, 253 nt
Filed under: uncultured bacterium
Lineage: Bacteria
Description: partial 16S ribosomal RNA
Rfam family: Bacterial small subunit ribosomal RNA
Source: RNAcentral